AACAAACGCUGGCGGCGUGCCUAAUACAUGCAAGUCGAACGGGGAAAGUAGCAAUAUGAGUACUAGUGGCACACAGGUGAGUAACGCGUGGAUAAUCUGCCUUGAAGAGGGGGAUAACUAGUCGAAAGAUUAGCUAAUACCGCAUAAGACCACAAGAACUGAGGUUCAAGGGGUCAAAGGUUUUUCGCUUCAAGAUGAGUCCGCGUAAGAUUAGCUAGUUGGUGAGGUAAUGGCUCACCAAGGCAACGAUCUUUAACUGGUCUGAGAGGAUGAUCAGUCACACUGGAACUGAGACACGGUCCAGACUCCUACGGGAGGCAGCAGUAGGGAAUAUUGCACAAUGGAGGAAACUCUGAUGCAGCGACGCCGCGUGAGUGAUGAAGGCCUUCGGGUCGUAAAGCUCUGUCGCAGGGGAAUAACACAAUGAAUGUACCCUGUAAGAAAGGAUCGGCUAACUUCGUG
RNAcentral lists this ribosomal RNA (462 nucleotides) under uncultured bacterium. Its description in RNAcentral is "partial 16S ribosomal RNA". It matches the Rfam family "Bacterial small subunit ribosomal RNA", at positions 29 to 507 of the family's 1533-position model. The record is from RNAcentral.